UCAUCAUUUCUAAAUUGGGCACGCCUAGU
Molecule: small RNA, 29 nt
Filed under: Bombyx mori (domestic silkworm)
Lineage: Eukaryota; Metazoa; Arthropoda; Insecta; Lepidoptera; Bombycidae
Description: piRNA piR-bmo-2212506
Source: RNAcentral